Molecule: ribosomal RNA, 425 nt
Filed under: uncultured bacterium
Lineage: Bacteria
Description: partial 16S ribosomal RNA
Rfam family: Bacterial small subunit ribosomal RNA
Source: RNAcentral
GUGGGGAAUCUUAGACAAUGGGCGCAAGCCUGAUCUAGCCAUGCCGCGUGAGCGAUGAAGGCCUUAGGGUUGUAAAGCUCUUUCAGUGGGGAAGAUAAUGACUGUACCCACAGAAGAAGCCCCGGCUAACUCCGUGCCAGCAGCCGCGGUAAUACGGAGGGGGCUAGCGUUGUUCGGAAUUACUGGGCGUAAAGCGCACGUAGGCGGACUGGAAAGUCAGGGGUGAAAUCCCGGGGCUCAACCCCGGAACUGCCUUUGAAACUCCCAGUCUUGAGGUCGAGAGAGGUGAGUGGAAUUCCGAGUGUAGAGGUGAAAUUCGUAGAUAUUCGGAGGAACACCAGUGGCGAAGGCGGCUCACUGGCUCGAUACUGACGCUGAGGUGCGAAAGCGUGGGGAGCAAACAGGAUUAGAUACCCUUGUAGUCC